RNAcentral lists this ribosomal RNA (876 nucleotides) under uncultured Nitrososphaerota archaeon. RNAcentral's name for it is "bacterial SSU rRNA". It matches the Rfam family "Archaeal small subunit ribosomal RNA", at positions 1 to 884 of the family's 1478-position model. Lineage: Archaea; Thermoproteati; Nitrososphaerota. The record is from RNAcentral.
UUCCGGUUGAUUUUGCCGGACCUGACUGCUAUCGGAUUGAUACUAAGCCAUGCGAGUCAUUGUAGCAAUACAAGGCAGACGGCUCAGUAACGCGUAGUCAAUCUACCCUAUGGACGGGAAUAACCUCGGGAAACUGAGAAUAAUGCCCGAUAGAACAUUAUGCCUGGAAUGGUUUAUGUUUCAAAUGAUUUAUCGCCAUAGGAUGGGACUGCGGCCUAUCAGUUUGUUGGUGAGGUAAUGGCCCACCAAGACUAUUACAGGUACGGGCUCUGAGAGGAGUAGCCCGGAGAUGGGUACUGAGACACGGACCCAGGCCCUAUGGGGCGCAGCAGGCGAGAAAACUUUGCAAUGUGCGAAAGCACGACAAGGUUAAUCCGAGUGGUUUCUGCUAAAGAAACCUUUUGUCAGUCCUAGAAACACUAACGAAUAAGGGGUGGGCAAGUUCUGGUGUCAGCCGCCGCGGUAAAACCAGCACCUCAAGUGGUCAGGAUGAUUAUUGGGCCUAAAGCAUCCGUAGCUCGUUUUGUAAGUUUUCGGUUAAAUCCAUGCGCUUAACGUAUGGGCUGCCGGGAAUACUGCAUAACUAGGAAGUGGGAGAGGUAGACGGUACUCGGGAGGAAGGGGUAAAAUCCUUUGAUCUCUUGAUGACCACCUGUGGCGAAGGCGGUCUACCAGAACACGUUCGACGGUGAGGGAUGAAAGCUGGGGGAGCAAACCGGAUUAGAUACCCGGGUAGUCCCAGCUGUAAACUAUGCAAACUCAGUGAUGCAUUGGCUUAUGGCCAAUGCAGUGCUGCAGGGAAGCCGUUAAGUUUGCCGCCUGGGAAGUACGUACGCAAGUAUGAAACUUAAAGGAAUUGGCGGGGGAGCACCACAA